UGGGGAAUAUUGCACAAUGGGCGCAAGCCUGAUGCAGCCAUGCCGCGUGUGUGAAGAAGGCCUUUGGGUUGUAAAGCACUUUCAGCGGGGAGGAAGGCGUUAAGGUUAAUAACCUUGGCGAUUGACGUUACCCGCAGAAGAAGCACCGGCUAACUCCGUGCCAGCAGCCGCGGUAAUACGGAGGGUGCAAGCGUUAAUCGGAAUUACUGGGCGUAAAGCGCACGCAGGCGGUCUGUCAAGUCGGAUGUGAAAUCCGCGGGCUCAACCUGGGAACUGCAUUCGAAACUGGCAGGCUAGAGUCUUGUAGAGGGGGGUAGAAUUCCAGGUGUAGCGGUGAAAUGCGUGGAGGUCUGGAGGAAUCCCGUUGGCGAAGGCGGCCCCCUGGACAAAGACUGACGCUCAGGUGCGAAAGCGUGGGGAGCAAACAGG
RNAcentral lists this ribosomal RNA (429 nucleotides) under Chloroflexota bacterium. Its description in RNAcentral is "Chloroflexi bacterium partial 16S ribosomal RNA". It matches the Rfam family "Bacterial small subunit ribosomal RNA", at positions 355 to 776 of the family's 1533-position model. Lineage: Bacteria; Bacillati; Chloroflexota. The record is from RNAcentral.